CAGGGCAAUGCAUUUGGUGGAGGAUGACACCGGUUGAUCAAGAAGUGACGUUUGCUUGAGACCGCGUACGCAAGAUUGAAUCUUUAGUCUCUGUAUUAGCUCACCGAUAAAAUUCAUGGUCAGUGAAACUACUUUUCAAAUCUUAUAAAUUAAAUAAAAAUCAAUAUAAAAAUUAAUUUACAAUAUCAUUUAAUUUUAUACCCAAAAACAUUCAUUCCGUACUCUUCUUUCUCUUGCUAUACACAUCCAAUGAAAAGGAGAUUAUGAAUUAUUUCCAUAUGAACAGACAAGUUCUUAUCCCGAUUACACAUGACCUUUUGAUAAAAAAAAAUUAUAAUAAUAAAAUAAAAAUGGUUUCCCGAUCAAGAGACAAGACCACCAACCCAAAAAUCACCACCACACAUCAUGAACGCACUAUUCCUCUGCAGCCGGGUGCACCUCAGCUCCACCAUCCACAUAAUCAUCACCGUUCAUUUGAUCAAGAACAAGAACUAAUCCCAUCGCAAAAGCCCCAUCAACGCCAGGCUUUAGGCAGAGGGAGAAAACGUCCUUGCCAAGCACCACGUUCGUAGAGACAUCCACUUUGCGUCUGAUCUCAGCCACUGAUUCCUUCUGUGCAUUGAAGAUUGUACAACAUCUAUUGGCGAAGGACCCUUCUAUCUGGUACUCUUCCCCUGGAUUCCCAUACACUUCCACGGCCACGCUGCACCGUCGGAUUAUUGAUGAUCUCCUCACGCUGAAGAUCGGUUUCUGACGCUCUCUUCUUUCCCCUAGAUAGCCUUCCCACCGUUGAUGUAGACUCGGCCUCUUUUUUCUCACCGUGAGAAGACAGCGGCCGUGGGCGUCCAUGAGAACGACUUCACCGGUGUCGCGGGUAUCAGGGCCGUAGGAAUCAACUCGGAAGACUAACUGACCACUGCAAUCGUAGACGGUGAAGCCAUCAUUAGCAAAGAACAGAGAGGUUUUAAGCACUGUUAGAUGCUUCUCCUCUUCGUAUAUAAAUCCACUAUCUACAACCAAUCCUCCCUUCAUUCUUUCUUCUGUUCUUCGAUUUGGGCUCCUGAAACGAAACGAUUCCUAAAGUCCGUGUUUGUGGUGUUCCCCAAGGCAGAAAAAUGAACGUUUGAAGGGAUGAUAGCGUUGAAGCGAAUUUAUAUAGUGCUCUAAGAGCGAGUGAGAGAGAAAGCACGCGUAUAGAGCUAGAGGGUUAAUGCUUAUGUGUGCGGUUGAUAGUAAAAUAUCUCUGGUCACUGAUUCUGUCUAAAUCCAUGUUUCGGGUUCAAUGGGAAACUUAUAUCGGGAAUCUUGUAUAGUGCCUCCAAUACGUGUAACUCGGUUUCAUUUUGUAGGGUUAGCGAGUUGACUCGGUUGUAACUCGGGCGGCUCGGCGGAGCUUAUGGAAUAUCUGAUCCGAUCUACUGAUUUGAAUAUUGUGGAAUAAUGUUAUUGGAAAUGUGGAAUUGGGAAAAGCAAUU
This 1475-nucleotide unclassified non-coding RNA is filed under the name Hevea brasiliensis (rubber tree). Lineage: Eukaryota; Viridiplantae; Streptophyta; Magnoliopsida; Malpighiales; Euphorbiaceae. The record is from RNAcentral.